GAAUAUUGGACAAUGGGGGCAACCCUGAUCCAGCCAUGCCGCGUGGGUGAAGAAGGCCUCUUGGUUGCAAAGCACUUUAAGCCGUGAAGAAGACUCCAUUGUUAAUACACAUGGACGUUGACAUUAGCUGCCGACUAAGCACAGGCGAACUCUGGGCCAGCAGCCGCGGUAAUACAGAGGGUGCAAGCGUUAAUCGGAAUUACUGGGCGUAAAGCGAGCGUAGGUGGCUUGAUAAGUCAGAUGUGAAAUCCCCGGGCUUAACCUGGGAACUGCAUCUGAUACUGUUAGGCUAGAAUAGGUGAGAGGAAGGUAGAAUUCCAGGUGUAGCGGUGGAAUGCGUAGAGAUCUGGAGGAAUACCGAUGGCGAAGGCAGCCUUCUGGCAUCAUAUUGACACUGAGGUUCUAAAGCGUGGGUAGCAAACAGG
RNAcentral lists this ribosomal RNA (425 nucleotides) under uncultured bacterium. RNAcentral's name for it is "partial 16S ribosomal RNA". It matches the Rfam family "Bacterial small subunit ribosomal RNA", at positions 359 to 776 of the family's 1533-position model. The record is from RNAcentral.